CCUACGGGAGGCAGCAGUAGGGAAUCUUCCGCAAUGGGCGAAAGCCUGACGGAGCAAUGCCGCGUGAGUGAAGAAGGCCUUCGGGUCGUAAAACUCUGUUAUAAGAGAAGAACAAAUUGUAGAGUAACUGCUACAGUCUUGACGGUAUCUUAUCAGAAAGCCACGGCUAACUACGUGCC
RNAcentral lists this ribosomal RNA (179 nucleotides) under uncultured bacterium. RNAcentral's name for it is "partial 16S ribosomal RNA". It matches the Rfam family "Bacterial small subunit ribosomal RNA", at positions 338 to 509 of the family's 1533-position model. The record is from RNAcentral.